RNAcentral lists this ribosomal RNA (825 nucleotides) under Pseudomonas sp. RNAcentral describes it as "bacterial SSU rRNA". It matches the Rfam family "Bacterial small subunit ribosomal RNA", at positions 46 to 864 of the family's 1533-position model. Lineage: Bacteria; Pseudomonadati; Pseudomonadota; Gammaproteobacteria; Pseudomonadales; Pseudomonadaceae. The record is from RNAcentral.
GCCUAACACAUGCAAGUCGAGCGGCAGCACGGGUACUUGUACCUGGUGGCGAGCGGCGGACGGGUGAGUAAUGCCUAGGAAUCUGCCUGGUAGUGGGGGAUAACGUCCGGAAACGGGCGCUAAUACCGCAUACGUCCUACGGGAGAAAGUGGGGGAUCUUCGGACCUCACGCUAUCAGAUGAGCCUAGGUCGGAUUAGCUAGUUGGUGAGGUAAUGGCUCACCAAGGCGACGAUCCGUAACUGGUCUGAGAGGAUGAUCAGUCACACUGGAACUGAGACACGGUCCAGACUCCUACGGGAGGCAGCAGUGGGGAAUAUUGGACAAUGGGCGAAAGCCUGAUCCAGCCAUGCCGCGUGUGUGAAGAAGGUCUUCGGAUUGUAAAGCACUUUAAGUUGGGAGGAAGGGCAGUUACCUAAUACGUAAUUGUUUUGACGUUACCGACAGAAUAAGCACCGGCUAACUCUGUGCCAGCAGCCGCGGUAAUACAGAGGGUGCAAGCGUUAAUCGGAAUUACUGGGCGUAAAGCGCGCGUAGGUGGUUUGUUAAGUUGGAUGUGAAAGCCCCGGGCUCAACCUGGGAACUGCAUCCAAAACUGGCAAGCUAGAGUAUGGUAGAGGGUGGUGGAAUUUCCUGUGUAGCGGUGAAAUGCGUAGAUAUAGGAAGGAACACCAGUGGCGAAGGCGACCACCUGGACUGAUACUGACACUGAGGUGCGAAAGCGUGGGGAGCAAACAGGAUUAGAUACCCUGGUAGUCCACGCCGUAAACGAUGUCAACUAGCCGUUGGGAGCCUUGAGCUCUUAGUGGCGCAGCUAACGCAUUAAG